This is an RNA transcript of Mus musculus (house mouse), 444 nucleotides long. It is a transcript of the gene named predicted gene 46993, with no coding region annotated. The transcript has a single exon. The record is from RefSeq and is marked validated. NCBI's taxonomy places the organism in Eukaryota, Metazoa, Chordata, Mammalia, Rodentia, Muridae.
ACAUGAUUUCUGAAAAAGAAAAAGAUCAAUGCAGUCUGAUGAUCUCUGCUGGCACACCAGGAGGGGACUCCCCAACACAAGCCUGCAAGUACUAUGACCACCAGUGUCUGCUGUGCUACCAGGAUGUUUUGGAAAAAUGCAGGUCUCUUCCCAAACAAUCUUCUUACUCUGGAUGGGUUGUAGAUCACAUCCUCCCCAAUACUGCAUGGCACUCACAAGAGAAUGCUCCUUACUCUGAUAUCUCACCAUCUGAAUCUGUAUCAGGCCUGUACCAAUUUGCAACACUCAUAGAGUUGACUUUUUAGGAUUGAGUUCUAUGUAGCUCAUGUAUCUGUAUGGAAAUUUACCCCCUUCUUUCAAACAUUCCAAUUUUUCCUACCUGUUUUUUUGGGGGGGGGGGGUGAGACAGUGUUUCUUUGUGUAGCCCUGGCUAGCCUGCAACUC